This is a long non-coding RNA of Alligator mississippiensis (American alligator), 604 nucleotides long. RefSeq lists it as uncharacterized. The record is from RefSeq and is a predicted model, not a curated record. Lineage: Eukaryota; Metazoa; Chordata; Crocodylia; Alligatoridae. The transcript has 3 exons.
UUCUCCAAAUACGUCAGCAACAAGAAGAAGAUCAGGGAGAGUGUGGGUCCCUUACUGAAUGGGGGAGGCAAACUAGUGACACAGGAUGCAGAAAAGGCAGAAGUACUCAAUGCCUUCUUCACCCAAGUCUUCACAGCAAGGUCAGGUCCCAGACUACUACACCUUGCAGCACAGUUUGGGGAGAAGGCAACCAGAUGCCAUGACCUACAGUCAAGAGUAUGUUUCAAGGCAGAGUAGCACCUGUUCCCUUGCAUCUUCCUGCUGGGACAUGCACUUCAUCAAGGCUUAAUUCAGAAAGCUCUCUGGAAAGCUGCACCCAAGCUCAUCCCGAACAGAUGAAACAUCUCUUUCCCUGGAUCAAUAAUUGCAGAUGAAGACCUUGAACUGCUACUGCCCUUACAAAAUCCUACAGGAAAACCAAAUAACUAAGGAAAGAACCCAACAGGUUAAAUGCACUAAAAACACUAAAAUAAAACAUACACUGAAAAAAAACCCUUACUUAGUAGUCUUGAUAUACAAAAUUGUCACAAAUACAAGACCAAAAUCAAAACAAGGGCACUAUAUGUCUACCCCAUGUUUAAGUCAAGUGCAAUUUUUAAUUUUU